RNAcentral lists this transfer RNA (69 nucleotides) under Urocitellus parryii (Arctic ground squirrel). RNAcentral's name for it is "Spermophilus parryii (Arctic ground squirrel) tRNA". It matches the Rfam family "tRNA". Rfam says of the family: Transfer RNA (tRNA) molecules are approximately 80 nucleotides in length. Their secondary structure includes four short double-helical elements and three loops (D, anti-codon, and T loops). RNAcentral also lists the same sequence under 1 other name. Lineage: Eukaryota; Metazoa; Chordata; Mammalia; Rodentia; Sciuridae. The record is from Rfam by way of RNAcentral.
GGGGCUGUAGCUCAGUGGUAGAGCACCCACCUUGCAUGUGUGAAGCACAGGGUUCAAUCCUCAGCACCA